UAAUACGGGGGGAGCAAGCGUUGUUCGGAUUUACUGGGCGUAAAGGGCGCGUAGGCGGCCACCGCAAGUCGACUGUGAAAUCUCUGGGCUUAACCCAGAAAGGUCAGCCGAUACUGCGGGGCUAGAGUGCAGAAGGGGCAACUGGAAUUCUCGGUGUAGCGGUGAAAUGCGUAGAUAUCGAGAGGAACACCUGCGGCGAAGGCGGGUUGCUGGGCUGACACUGACGCUGAGGCGCGAAAGCUAGGGGAGCGAACGGG
This 257-nucleotide ribosomal RNA is filed under the name uncultured prokaryote. RNAcentral's name for it is "partial 16S ribosomal RNA". It matches the Rfam family "Bacterial small subunit ribosomal RNA", at positions 521 to 776 of the family's 1533-position model. The record is from RNAcentral.